CGCGCCAAAUUAGAAUCCUGUAAACACAAAUGAGUUCUCUGGAAGAAUGUUGUGUUCGGAAGCAGAGGUUUAGGAUUAGCUUCUGUAGUUUGUAACACAAUCUAUUUAUUUGGGGGAAAAAACAAGUGCAUCACAGGGACAGUCGUAUAAUUAAAGUUUUUCAACGGCGAUGUCGACAGAAUUGGAUAAAGCGAUGAAAGAUUACGAGGUGGCGUGCGCAGACCUGGGGGAGGAGCUAAAGGGGCUGUCGGACCGACUCUGCGCGUUGUUGCGGUAUCAGAGGAGCCUGCUGACCACCAACACACUGCUGAUGUCCUGGAUGCAGAAUGCAGAAAAGCUGUGGAAACACAGGAGACAGACCCGCCUGGUGUCAGACUCCUGACGCUAAGAUGGGCCCAGCAGCGUGGGGUGAUGACUACGGUGUCUGUGUGCUGUCCCAGCAGCCCAUCUGUGUGGAGUAUCAGAUGCCCAGUCGCAGGGCGCUGGCAAACUCUGCGCAAAGAUCUGGUCUCCUGUGGGGGUUUGUGCCAGAAGCUCAUUACACAGAUUAAAGAGAAUGUAGAAAACCAGG
This is a long non-coding RNA of Anguilla anguilla (European eel), 571 nucleotides long. RefSeq lists it as uncharacterized. NCBI's taxonomy places the organism in Eukaryota, Metazoa, Chordata, Actinopteri, Anguilliformes, Anguillidae. The transcript is spliced from 3 exons. The record is from RefSeq and is a predicted model, not a curated record.